GAUGAACGCUGGCGGCGUGCCUAAUACAUGCCAGUCGAGCGAACAGACGAGGAGCUUGCUCCUCUGACGUUAGCGGCGGACGGGUGAGUAACACGUGGAUAACCUACCUAUAAGACUGGGAUAACUUCGGGAAACCGGAGCUAAUACCGGAUAAUAUAUUGAACCGCAUGGUUCAAUAGUGAAAGACGGUUUUGCUGUCACUUAUAGAUGGAUCCGCGCCGCAUUAGCUAGUUGGUAAGGUAACGGCUUACCAAGGCAACGAUGCGUAGCCGACCUGAGAGGGUGAUAGGCCACACUGGAACGGAGACAGGGUCCAGACUCCUACGGGAGGCAGCAGUAGGGAAUCUUCCGCAAUGGGCGAAAGCCUGACGGAGCAACGCCGCGUGAGUGAUGAAGGUCUUCGGAUCGUAAAACUCUGUUAUGAGGGAAGAACAAAUGUGUAAGUAACUAUGCACGUCUUGACGGUACCUAAUCAGAAAGCCACGGCUAACUACGUG
RNAcentral lists this ribosomal RNA (497 nucleotides) under uncultured bacterium. Its description in RNAcentral is "partial 16S ribosomal RNA". It matches the Rfam family "Bacterial small subunit ribosomal RNA", at positions 28 to 507 of the family's 1533-position model. The record is from RNAcentral.